AAGUAGUGCUCACUAGUUAGAGUGGUGCCAAGAAGCAUUGUUUAGUGUUGGUAGUUUCAGUGCUUGGUAAGCGUGCAAAGAUGGAGACGAUUAUCGAUACAUUCGGCAGCUCACUUUUCAUGACCAUCAUUCCGUCCGCAAGCAAGUUAUUCUUUCCAAAUUUUGGGGAGCUGUUACUUUCUUACCCAUCUGUAGAUCCAUGUAGUUAGUUUUGUGCAAAAUUGUCUUGUGCUUCGUGCAAUAGCCGCCGAUUAUAGGUGUCUGGCGAAGAUAGGUUACUUACUCUAUCUGUAGAUCCAUGUAGUUAGUUUUGUGCAAAAUUGUCUUGUGCUUCGUGCAAUAGCCGCCGAUUAUAGAGGUCUAGAUGUUGUCACAAGAAUGAACUAAUGAUAAAGCAUCAAUUUCCUGAUGACCAAGAGGCAGAAGCACUUGUAGCCCAACAGAAGGUUAAGGUUGGAGAGAACAUAUCAAGUACUGUGGCUCACAAACAACGGAGUUGCGGAGGUACAGAUGACGAGACUCGUGGCUCUGUCUCUGGGAAGGGCCCGCUAAAGAAGCAAAGCUCCCACCAGCUCACUUUGGGACUGUGGGUGUGGCUAUCAUAUGUGCACUGACCCUGGUUACAUGUGUGCGUCACGGAAGAGGCUAUACUUCUACUACUCUCCAUCCCUCUCUGGCUUAUAAGUACCGGUGGCUUGAUAGAGGCACACCCUGGAUCAGAGCUCUUGCAGACAGACUGGCAUACCCCCAGAUGUUUCAUAAUCUAGGACUAGCUGCAUACUGUGGUGUCUUCCUCAUCCCCCCUGACUACAUUGAUCUACCAAUAUCAACCGACCCAACUUAAUUUGAACACCAUCGGGACCUCUCUAGCUGCUGAACCUUCAGGUGGACACUCGCCCCUCAUUGAUGAUUCAGAACCAGCAGUCCCUACUACAUCCCAAACUUAUAGUUUUAAUUACUGUGUAGACUCCUAAUAAGACUUAUUUGCAUUUUUAAAGGUAUCAAUAGAUCACUCAUAAUUAUAUCAGGUUCUCUAUUGUGAAUUGCAAGUUUUCACCUGAUCGCAAACGAAAACUGAGCAAUAUCACAUACCGUCUUUAUUCAAUUUUAAGUGACACUUUUUUA
Molecule: long non-coding RNA, 1125 nt
Organism: Halichondria panicea
Lineage: Eukaryota; Metazoa; Porifera; Demospongiae; Suberitida; Halichondriidae
Exons: 5
Source: RefSeq, a predicted model, not a curated record